Antechinus flavipes (yellow-footed antechinus) is the source of this 649-nucleotide long non-coding RNA. RefSeq lists it as uncharacterized. Lineage: Eukaryota; Metazoa; Chordata; Mammalia; Dasyuromorphia; Dasyuridae. The transcript is spliced from 2 exons. The record is from RefSeq and is a predicted model, not a curated record.
AAAUUAUUAGAGGAGGGGGAGAAAUGGAGAGAGCCACGUGAGUGUGGAGAGGAAUGUGGAACAAGGAACAUAAGGCAGAGACAGAUGGUGGAAAAUAAAUAUGGGGGAGAGAGAGAGAGGUGAACAGAGUUAGACGAGGCAGGCAUAGAAAACUAGAGUGGGAAGAGAAAUGUGGGAAGGAGAGAAAGGUGGGUGAAGAAAGAGAACAAUAUGAAAGGGGAAGAACGAAUUGUCUCUGAUUUACAGGAUGGUUCUAUUUUUCACCUUUUUAUUUUGACUGCCUUCUUGUGCAGGAGGACAUUCCUAACCCUACUGAGUUCUUCCUAAAAUCCAAAGGGCUUCAUGAGAAGAAAUCCUAGCUGCCCAAAAAAGCUUCAAGGAAUAAUAAUUGUUAUCAGGAUAAUGAUACAGACCAAGCAGAGACACGGAAAUGUAUUUUCUUCUAAAGAUGUAGGAUGCAACCUAUCAAUGUGACACUAGAGGGAGCAAUAAUCUAAAUUCCCAAGAUUGGAUCAGCGAUGGAAAACCGUUUCUCUAUCAGUGGCCAAGGACCAUGGGUAUAAAAUCAAUUAAAAAUCAUCUUUUUACAGUGAACCUUAAAAAUCAUCAUUAUAGUAAGCCUUAAAAUAAAAAUAUUUGAGAUUAAAAA